This 1337-nucleotide ribosomal RNA is filed under the name uncultured bacterium. Its description in RNAcentral is "bacterial SSU rRNA". It matches the Rfam family "Bacterial small subunit ribosomal RNA", at positions 28 to 1381 of the family's 1533-position model. The record is from RNAcentral.
GACGAACGCUGGCGGCGUGCUUAACACAUGCAAGUCGAACGGAAAGGCCCUUCGGGGUACUCGAGUGGCGAACGGGUGAGUAACACGUGGGUGAUCUGCCCUGCACUUUGGGAUAAGCCUGGGAAACUGGGUCUAAUACCGAAUAGGACCACGCGCUUCAUGGUGUGUGGUGGAAAGCUUUUGCGGUGUGGGAUGGGCCCGCGGCCUAUCAGCUUGUUGGUGGGGUAAUGGCCUACCAAGGCGACGACGGGUAGCCGGCCUGAGAGGGUGACCGGCCACACUGGGACUGAGAUACGGCCCAGACUCCUACGGGAGGCUGCAGUGGGGAAUAUUGCACAAUGGGCGCAAGCCUGAUGCAGCGACGCCGCGUGAGGGAUGACGGCCUUCGGGUUGUAAACCUCUUUCAAUAGGGACGAAGCGCAAGUGACGGUACCUAUAGAAGAAGCACCGGCCAACUACGUGCCAGCAGCCGCGGUAAUACGUAGGGUGCGAGCGUUGUCCGGAAUUACUGGGCGUAAAGAGCUCGUAGGUGGUUUGUCGCGUUGUUCGUGAAAACUCACAGCUUAACUGUGGGCGUGCGGGCGAUACGGGCAGACUAGAGUACUGCAGGGGAGACUGGAAUUCCUGGUGUAGCGGUGGAAUGCGCAGAUACCAGGAGGAACACCGGUGGCGAAGGCGGGUCUCUGGGCAGUAACUGACGCUGAGGAGCGAAAGCGUGGGGAGCGAACAGGAUUAGAUACCCUGGUAGUCCACGCCGUAAACGGUGGGUACUAGGUGUGGGUUCCUUCCUUGGGAUCCGUGCCGUAGCUAACGCAUUAAGUACCCCGCCUGGGGAGUACGGCCGCAAGGCUAAAACUCAAAGGAAUUGACGGGGGCCCGCACAAGCGGCGGAGCAUGUGGAUUAAUUCGAUGCAACGCGAAGAACCUUACCUGGGUUUGACAUGCACAGGACGCCGGCAGAGAUGUCGGUUCCCUUGUGGCCUGUGUGCAGGUGGUGCAUGGCUGUCGUCAGCUCGUGUCGUGAGAUGUUGGGUUAAGUCCCGCAACGAGCGCAACCCUUGUCCUAUGUUGCCAGCGGGUUAUGCCGGGGACUCGUAGGAGACUGCCGGGGUCAACUCGGAGGAAGGUGGGGAUGACGUCAAGUCAUCAUGCCCCUUAUGUCCAGGGCUUCACACAUGCUACAAUGGCCGGUACAAAGGGCUGCGAUGCCGUGAGGUGGAGCGAAUCCUUUCAAAGCCGGUCUCAGUUCGGAUCGGGGUCUGCAACUCGACCCCGUGAAGUCGGAGUCGCUAGUAAUCGCAGAUCAGCAACGCUGCGGUGAAUACGUUCCCGGGCCU